Mauremys reevesii (Reeves's turtle) is the source of this 84-nucleotide non-coding RNA. The record is from the annotation of a RefSeq genome assembly. NCBI's taxonomy places the organism in Eukaryota, Metazoa, Chordata, Testudines, Geoemydidae.
GUAGUUGUGGCUGAGUGGUUAAGGCGAUGGACUAGAAAUCCAUUGAGAGGUCUCCCUGUGCAGGUUCAAAUCCUGCCAACUACG